RNAcentral lists this small RNA (599 nucleotides) under Pan troglodytes (chimpanzee). Its description in RNAcentral is "processed transcript". The record is from RNAcentral. Lineage: Eukaryota; Metazoa; Chordata; Mammalia; Primates; Hominidae.
CUCUCUUUACUGACCACCAGUGGGUGGCCCCCGCCGUGGCCACUGCCGACCUGCACGCGCAGUACGGCUCCCCCACCUACUUCUAUGCCUUCUAUCAUCACUGCCAAAGCGAAAUGAAGCCCAGCUGGGCAGAUUCGGCCCAUGGUGAUGAGGUCCCCUAUGUCUUCGGCAUCCCCAUGAUCGGUCCCACCGAGCUCUUCAGUUGUAACUUUUCCAAGAACGACGUCAUGCUCAGCGCCGUGGUCAUGACCUACUGGACGAACUUCGCCAAAACUGGGUCAAUAACGACUGGAGUGUGAUGGAGAGGAAGAGACAGUACACGGUUGAAAUUUUUCCUGAUGAAAGCUGUGUGGUUCCUAAGAAUUCAAGAUUAUCCAGAACUAUAGGAUGGUGUUUAUAGGACACAACAGCUGACUUGAAUGGACUCCCACUGGCUAAAGAUGACACACUUUGACCAUCAGUAAGAAUGAUAAUUUAAAUGCAUUUCAAUACAUCAAGUUUGAUAAAAGACACGAGUUCCCAAUGACGUUAAAGAUAUGCACAUUGAUUGUCUUUAGAAAAUAGUUGGGAAUCAUUUCAUUACUUUGUGAACUGAAAAA